Molecule: ribosomal RNA, 247 nt
Filed under: uncultured bacterium
Lineage: Bacteria
Description: partial 16S ribosomal RNA
Rfam family: Bacterial small subunit ribosomal RNA
Source: RNAcentral
AUACGGAGGAUCCGAGCGUUAUCCGGAUUUACUGGGUUUAAAGGGUGCGUAGGCGGGCGCCUAAGUCAGCGGUGAAAUGCAGCGGCUCAACCGUUGAACUGCCGUUGAAACUGGGCGCCUUGGAUGCGGUCGAGGCCGGCGGAAUGCGUGGUGUAGCGGUGAAGUGCUUAGAUAUAACACAGAACACCAAUUGCGAAGGCAGCUUACUGGGAUACAACUGACGCUGAGGCACGAAAGCGUGGGGAUC